Cynara cardunculus var. scolymus (artichoke) is the source of this 463-nucleotide long non-coding RNA. RefSeq lists it as uncharacterized. The record is from RefSeq and is a predicted model, not a curated record. NCBI's taxonomy places the organism in Eukaryota, Viridiplantae, Streptophyta, Magnoliopsida, Asterales, Asteraceae. The transcript has 2 exons.
ACCAUCUCCAGAUACCAACCCGAUUAUUUUUAUGGGACUCGCUCCCUCGUAAUGCCAUGGGAAAGGUGAACAAAAAGGAGCUGAAGAUGAAACUGGCUGCUGAAGAACAAUAAACCGAUUUUAUCAUCGACGAAAGAUGCAACAUACCGUUUGUGUGUAAUCUAUGUUAAACGGUAAACUGCAUGCUCUCGUCGAUGGUAACGGAGAUUUUAUUUUCUCGGCUGUCGGUAUUCCUGUUAGGGAUACCGCUGUCAGAAAACUCUACAUAUAAUUUCCUUUCGAGUUGUUAGAAGUUAACGAUGAUGUGCUUAUUAUGGUAAUGUUGGCUUUGAUUUAUAUGAUUCUUGUAAUUCCUCGUUAUUUAAAAAUUGAUAAUAUGGUAAGUUUCGAGAACAGAACAGGGAUCACUGUUUUACAUUUGAUAUGAUCUUUAUAUGAAAUAGACAGGAACAUAAGAAUAAAA